This is a long non-coding RNA of Mercurialis annua (annual mercury), 488 nucleotides long. RefSeq lists it as uncharacterized. NCBI's taxonomy places the organism in Eukaryota, Viridiplantae, Streptophyta, Magnoliopsida, Malpighiales, Euphorbiaceae. The transcript has 3 exons. The record is from RefSeq and is a predicted model, not a curated record.
UCUCAGCUCAAACCCUCACCAUCUUCAUCUUCUCAACUCCAUAUGAAAACCAAACUUCAAUUCACCAUAACUUAUUCGUUUUAGCUCGGUUUUGAUCGAUUCUUGCGGCAACGGAAAGAGGAGAACCAUACCUAAUGAUUGAGCCCAAUAAGUCAAGACAAACCGAGAGGCGACGGGAUCGACGGUUUUGGCCUAGGAGUAUUCGGCCAAGACUAAUGCAUGUAAAUGAUUUGGAUUGGAAAGCAAGGAGUACCUAGACUUGGAGUGACUAGAAGUCUAUCGUUUUGCCGGGAGUCUGUCUUGCCAUGUACAGUCUGACUUCCUUGACCGCUGCAGUAGUAUAUUGUGUGACAAGUUAUGACCUAGGAUAAUGUUAUAGUGUUGGAAAAUGUUUAUAAUUGCUGUUGUGUAUAAAAUGAAUAUUAUAACAAUGUUAGAUAUACAUAGUCAGUGUUUAUAAAAUGGCUAGUAAUGUUUUCAUAAUUAAA